AUUGAACGCUGGCGGCAUGCUUUACACAUGCAAGUCGGACGGCAGCACAGAGAAGCUUGCUUCUUGGGUGGCGAGUGGCGCACGGGUGAGUAAUAUAUCGGAACGUACCGAGUAAUGGGGGAUAACUAAUCGAAAGAUUAGCUAAUACCGCAUAUUCCCUGAGGAAGAAAGUAGGGGAUCUUCGGGCCUUGCGUCAUUCGAGAGGCAGAUAUCUGAUUUGCUAGUUGGGGGGGUAAAGGCCUACCAAGGCGACGAUCAGGAGCGGGUCUGAGAGGAGGAGCGGCCACACGGGAACUGGGACACGCCCCAGACUCCUACGGGAGGCAGCGGUGGGGAAUUUUGGCCAAUGGGCGCAAGCCUGAUCCAGCCAGGCCGCGUGUCUGAAGAAGGCUUUCGGGUGUUAAAGGACUUUUGUCAGGGAAGAAAAGGCUGUUGCUAAUACCGACAGCUGAUGACGGUACCUGAAGAAUAAGCACCGGCUAACUACGUG
Molecule: ribosomal RNA, 490 nt
Filed under: uncultured bacterium
Lineage: Bacteria
Description: partial 16S ribosomal RNA
Rfam family: Bacterial small subunit ribosomal RNA
Source: RNAcentral